UUUUAUUAUGAAGAGCACAGGUCAAUGAAGCACGCUAGCCAAUAAGAGGACCCGCCCACCGGCGGAAACCAGAUAUUGAGUGGUAAAUUCGUUUCGCUCAGAAGGAACCAAAAAACGAAUAAACGAACUGAAAUAUUGAUUUUCGUUUUUUUGACAAAACGUAUAAACGAAUAAACGAACCGAAAUCUUGAUUUUCGUUUUCUUGUCAAAACGAAAAAAACGAAAAAACGGCUUGUUUUCUGGUUUCUGCUUGCGUCAAUUAUUCCCAGAAAACAGAGUAAUAAAACGUACCUUGCUCCUUCUUAAACUAAUCUUUGGUUAUUCGUUUUUUGGCAGUAGGUACGAUGCUGGGAAACUGCGUGGGCCUGUGAUUACUCAGGCUGGAGUCCCCCCUGAACAACAUAUGAUGACUGGAAAAUAAAUAUGGAGAAAGUUACACCCAUUAUUGAGUCAGAAGCUGCGUUGACCUGUGAUUUCUCCGGGUGGAGGCUACUGAAAAUAUAACAGAUUGGAAAAUAAAUAUAGGCCUACAGAAAGUUACACUCAUUAUUGAGUCAGGUUCCCCACAAAUAAUUGUGUGCAAAAGAAAAUGGGACCCUGAUUUGUAUCUCCAUAAUUUGGGCCAAUCAUAUGCAGUGGCAUCUGGAAAGAAGCUGGAUCUACUGCAUUCUGGUGAUAUUAAUAGGACACACAAUUCAAAACACAAGUGCAGGCAUAAAGCGCUGCACGUAACAAUAGGCCUACUGAACCAAAACUUGUUGAGCGAAAAGAAGCUGCGUUGGCCUGUGAUUUCUCCGGGUGGAGGCUACUGAAAAGAUAAAAGAACGGAAAAUAAAUAUACAGAAAGUUACACUCAUUAUUGAGGCAGGUAAGUUGAAUUUCUCUUCAGACGCUCAGUAACACUUAUACAUUUUUCAUUGUUGAUAUGAACAUUUUAAAAAAGAUGAAACGGUGAGACGGUUUUGAGACAGUUUUCCACCACCAAGACACAUCUUUUUCAGGAUUGAUUGGAAGCAGAAUAAAAUCAUAAAAUCGAUCCAAGGUGUACACACACUUUCACGCAUGUUGUCUUUAGGUGCUUAUUUUAAUCCAUGGAUUAGCAAAAUUGUUCAUGUAUGGACUUAUAAACACCAUAGAUUGCAUUGCCCUCUAAGAUCUUUUCCCCUAACUUCAUAAACGGAACAUUUCUGAAGUCGGGGAAAAUACCGUAUAUAUUUUAGGAUAAAUUAAAAAUGUGUUAGAUAAGUCACCCAAAGCCGAAAAGGCAUUUUGUGUUUGUAUGACCUGGUGUGGAGGAGGUGCCGUCAUACCUUUCCUUGAACGUAGCCUAAUGUCUAAUUACAUGCACACGCACAUGCACAUAAAGACGCACACAAGCAUUUUCAACCCGUAGGUUUAAAAACAAAUCUAUUUAUACACUGUAACCGAAACUUAACAAGACUGGUGUGUGGUUUGGUGAAACUAGCUCGUGUCCAUAAUAGAUGACCUACGUGGUUUAGAUUCAUUCUUGAGCUAGAUGAGUGUAUUCAUGCAGUAGACAGCGCUUUUGUUGUCUCAAUUUUAUCUCACUGUCAACACUAUGAUUGAAACCGGUUUUAACUAGAACCGCAACUGCGUGUGCGUCUUGAUUUCUUUGGGUGGAGUCCACCUUCCCUUUGUGUUGAUCAAUGAAUUACGAACAUGUAUAAAUGUAUUUAGGAACUUAAACAUACCAU
This 1715-nucleotide long non-coding RNA is filed under the name Gadus morhua (Atlantic cod). RNAcentral's name for it is "lncRNA (ENSGMOG00000026930.1)". The record is from RNAcentral. Lineage: Eukaryota; Metazoa; Chordata; Actinopteri; Gadiformes; Gadidae.